AAGAGACAGCAGUAGCCGCGGGAAAACAGAGGGUGCGAGCGUUAAUCGGAUUUACUGGGCGUAAAGCGUGCGUAGGCGGCUUUUUAAGUCGGAUGUGAAAUCCCUGAGCUUAACUUAGGAAUUGCAUUCGAUACUGGGAAGCUAGAGUAUGGGAGAGGAUGGUAGAAUUCCAGGUGUAGCGGUGAAAUGCGUAGAGAUCUGGAGGAAUACCGAUGGCGAAGGCAGCCAUCUGGCCUAAUACUGACGCUGAGGUACGAAAGCAUGGGGAGCAAACAGGAUUAGAUACCCCUGUAGUCCCUGUCUCUUAUAC
RNAcentral lists this ribosomal RNA (310 nucleotides) under uncultured bacterium. RNAcentral describes it as "partial 16S ribosomal RNA". It matches the Rfam family "Bacterial small subunit ribosomal RNA", at positions 503 to 807 of the family's 1533-position model. The record is from RNAcentral.